UUGGCUCAGGAUGAACGCUGGCGGCGUGCCUAACACAUGCAAGUCGAGCGGGGAUUGCUUUGGAAGGUCUUCGGACUGGAAGAAGUGAUUCCAGCGGCGGACGGGUGAGUAACGCGUGAGCAACCUGCCUUCAACAGGGGGAUAACGCAUCGAAAGAUGUGCUAAUACCGCGUGAGACCACGGGAUCACAUGGUCCAGGGGUCAAAGGAGCAAUCCGGUUGAAGAUGGGCUCGCGUCCGAUUAGCUAGUUGGUGAGAUAACAGCCCACCAAGGCGACGAUCGGUAGCCGACCUGAGAGGGUGAUCGGCCACAUUGGAACUGAGAGACGGUCCAGACUCCUACGGGAGGCAGCAGUGGGGAAUA
This 363-nucleotide ribosomal RNA is filed under the name uncultured rumen bacterium. Its description in RNAcentral is "bacterial SSU rRNA". It matches the Rfam family "Bacterial small subunit ribosomal RNA", at positions 19 to 363 of the family's 1533-position model. The record is from RNAcentral.